CAGCUGCUAUGGGUUGGAUUAUGCUAUUAUGCAUAAGAAUGCUGAUAGGCGCACACACAAACCAUUUGUUCCUCAGUCCAUUUUCCUCCUCAAAAGCCUGUAACGUGCCAUUGAUCAGUGGGAGAUGUACCUGGACAGACCCAUGAAAAGAAAUCAACAAGUUCCACCUGAGGGACCCUAUUUUUCCUAAUUUCAUUUGAAAUGGCUUCUAAUUGUCCUUCUUUCAUUCCUGCUUCCUACCAGUUUUACAGCUUUUUCUGGUUUCAAAUGUGAACUCACAUACACUCUCAUUUUUCCUCAUAACAACCCCAAGUGACCCAAUGGUCCUCACUUUCGAUAUAAGUAAAGGAGGCUCUGCAUUAAGGGCUUGUCCAAGUCAUGCAGCUGAGAGGCGCUAGGACUGGCUCCAUUUCCAUCUCUAUUCUCACUGACUUUGACUACACAGAACCCCAACAUGUAGGGCCUCAGUAUUCGAUCAAUUAUUCUAUUAAGAAGCAAAAACAAUUCCCCGCAUUGGCCCCAGUUAUUAAGCAUUUCUCAGAUUUACCUUGAGAAAUGCCCAUAGGCCUAUAUAUUCACAUCUUCACCCUUGUCCCUUCCUCCUAGAAAGGAGAAAGUCAGUUGGAUGCCCUCUGAGGAACUAGUGCAUGGCUUAACUGUCCUUCCACGACUCCUGCCUUAUCUGUUUUCUAUUUUCCUCCUUUUCCACCGAAGUCUAUAAUCUCAAGAAAAUCUGGCACUGGCCUUAGGGCUCCUGGCCUAAGAAAUAUCAAGUCCGUAAGAAAUUCCAUUGACUGACCCCUCCUGCUUACCCCUUUGUGAUGGAGAAGCUCCCAGGGGUUUGCUUUUGGCACAUUACCAGCCUAACUCAGCAUCACCAGGAGCAAGAGAAGGAAAGUAACCUAAACUAAUGCUGCUUAUAAUUGUAAUUAUUAUAAUAGUUAAUUAUUGUGAUUGUACAUGUGUAACAGACAAAAGGUGUAUUUUUUUCACAGCUGCUGUGGAUUGGAUUAUGCCAUUUGGAAUAAGAAUGCUGUCAAGAGCACACAAGCCAGGUUCCUCAAGGAGAAGUGAAAUGACAACCUCACUAGAUACGGUUGAGACCUUUGGUACCACAUCCUACUAUGAUGACGUGGGCCUGCUCUGUGAAAAAGCCGAUACCAUAGCACUGAUGGCCCAGUUCGUGCCCCUGCUGUACUCCCUGGUGUUCAUUGUGGGCCUCUUGGGCAAUGUGGUGGUGGUGAUGAUCCUCAUAAAAUACAGGAGGCUCCGAAUUAUGACC
Molecule: small RNA, 1282 nt
Filed under: Pongo abelii (Sumatran orangutan)
Lineage: Eukaryota; Metazoa; Chordata; Mammalia; Primates; Hominidae
Description: retained intron
Source: RNAcentral